GAGGCCCAUCUGCGGCUGGGUGCAGAAUGCUUGCCUCGUUGCUGGGGCAGCAAAGCAAGCAUUCCGCCAGGCCGCUCACGCUGCCCGC
Molecule: microRNA precursor, 88 nt
Filed under: Eptesicus fuscus (big brown bat)
Lineage: Eukaryota; Metazoa; Chordata; Mammalia; Chiroptera; Vespertilionidae
Description: microRNA efu-mir-9195 precursor (efu-mir-9195-3)
Source: miRBase by way of RNAcentral